UUUUCUUUAUUUUCUUUAUUUUCUUUAUUUUCUUUAUUUUCUCCUUUUUCCCCCCUCCUCACUCACCGACUCACGAACACGUCACCCAUGAGCCGAUCGGGUUCAGAGAAGAGGUCACCGCAGCCGUUCUGGGUACGACUCAGGACUUCAGACUCUGCUGACACAGACUGAGCUCGGUGUGUUUUCUCUGUGAGCGGACGGUCAUUAUAGAGUUAAUAACACACACACGCACACACACACACACUGACUCAGAGUCCUCAGACUCAGAGGCAGCAGUGGUCGAGUUUUAGUCGAUGAUUUUAAUCUCUUUUUAAUAAUGUAGUUUUGUUUAACACAGUAGUUAUAGUUUAAUUAUCUAGUAAAGUAGAGAAUAGAUCAAAGUCAAUUUUUCACCAAUCAAACAUGUUUCUCUUUUUAUUAUUGUGACCUUAGAGACUCAAGAAACGACGUCCAUUCAGACGUAGAAUAUUCAUAAAACAUAUUUAUGUGACCAAACCUGUAGGAACACAUGAGAUUAAAUUAGAUUAAUACAUGAAAUACUGAAGCAUCACAUGACAACACGCACUAGACACAGGCUACAUACACACAGAUGAAGGUCCCGCCUCCUUCGCCUCUAAUUGGCUAGAAAAGCUGGAAACGUCGUCACUCACUCAAACCAAACGCAGACUGUCGGCUCUGAACGUCGAACAUUAUCACACUUCUGAAUCUCCUAACCCAACCGACAAUGACGUUUCACAGCCAUUAGGAAGAACCAAUCGGAGCCCAGUACUUGUAGCCAAUCAGAGGCGAGGGAGCGUUGUUCCAUCAGUGUCUUAACGUUCCUGGAGUUCAUCAUAAAAACCUUCAGACGUCGUUUUAAACUCGUGUUUGUAUUUCUCGGUUAUUUUACGAUCACAUUUCAGUUUAGUUUUUUACUUGUUUGUAAUUGAAGUCUGUCCAGAUAUCAUUUCUUAUUUUUCUCCCCUACGAUCCGAACACGACUCUAACUCACCCAAAAACCUCUGAAAAUAUGGCGAGUUCGGGGACGGAGGACGUGACGUCACCGAGGAAACAGGAAACAAGAAUAACGCGACUCAACGAUUUCGUCUCGUUUUAGUAAAAUAAAAAAUAAACAUUUUUAUCAGUUUUUAUCUAGUGAACCACAUUAAUCUGGUUUUUAUUCGUCUAUAACUGUGAAUUAUAGAUUUAGUUUUAGUCAUCGUCACAUGACCAACAUUUACGUCUCGUCUCUUUUUCGUCACGUGAUAAAAGUUCGUUAACGGCUAUCGUCUCUGUUCUCCAUCACAACCCGGAACUUACAGAGAGUCCAGAAACACGACCCCCCAACUCUGGAAACAUGGACUCUCCUCUCUUCUCCUCCUCCUCCUCCUCCUCCUCCUCCUCGGUCCGCAGGAAUCUCAGCUAUUCGAGGCUCUGGAGCAGUGAGGUGGAAACAUGUGAGGAAUCUGGAGGCCUGACCCUCCACUCCCCCUUUACUCCCCCUUUCCUCCCCCUCCAUCUCUGCUCUCUGUUACCUGCUGAGGGGGAGGAGAGGAGCGCUGCGGCCCGGCGCUCUGGACGAGGUUAUUACAGCGUAUCAGUGACAGCGAGGAGGACGACCCGCU
This 1604-nucleotide long non-coding RNA is filed under the name Xyrichtys novacula (pearly razorfish). The record is from RNAcentral. Lineage: Eukaryota; Metazoa; Chordata; Actinopteri; Labriformes; Labridae.